RNAcentral lists this ribosomal RNA (460 nucleotides) under uncultured bacterium. Its description in RNAcentral is "partial 16S ribosomal RNA". It matches the Rfam family "Bacterial small subunit ribosomal RNA", at positions 338 to 795 of the family's 1533-position model. The record is from RNAcentral.
CCUACGCGUGGCAGCAGUGAGGAAUAUUGGUCAAUGGGCGCGAACCUGAACCAGCCAAGUCGCGUGGGGGAGGACGGCCCUACGGGUUGUAAACCUCUUUUGCCGGGGAGCAACGGGCGUCACGUGUGGCGCCACUGAGAGUACCCGGAGACAAAGCAUCGGCUAACUCCGUGCCAGCAGCCGCGGUAAUACGGAGGAUGCGAGCGUUAUCCGGAUUGAUUGGGGUUAAAGGGUGCGUAGGCGGAUCGGUAAGUCAGUGGUCAAAUUGAGGGGCUCAACCCCUUCCCGCCAUUGAAACUGGCGUUCUUGAGUGGAAGAGAAGUAUGCGGAAUGCGUGGUGUAGCGGUGAAAUGCAUAGAUAGCACGCAGAACCCCGAUUGCGAAGGCAGCAUGCCGGCUUCCGACUGACGCUGAAGCACGAAAGCGUGGGGAUCGAACAGGAUUAGAUACCCCAGUAGUC